CCUACGGGAGGCAGCAGUGGGGAAUUUUGGACAAUGGGCGCAAGCCUGAUCCAGCAAUGCCGCGUGCAGGAUGAAGGCCUUCGGGUUGUAAACUGCUUUUGUACGGAACGAAAAAGUCUGCCCUAAUACGGUGGGCCCAUGACGGUACCGUAAGAAUAAGCACCGGCUAACUACGUGCCAGCAGCCGCGGUAAUACGUAGGGUGCGAGCGUUAAUCGGAAUUACUGGGCGUAAAGCGUGCGCAGGCGGUUAUAUAAGACAGAUGUGAAAUCCCCGGGCUCAACCUGGGACCUGCAUUUGUGACUGUAUAGCUAGAGUACGGUAGAGGGGGAUGGAAUUCCGCGUGUAGCAGUGAAAUGCGUAGAUAUGCGGAGGAACACCGAUGGCGAAGGCAAUCCCCUGGACCUGUACUGACGCUCAUGCACGAAAGCGUGGGGAGCAAACAGGAUUAGAUACCCUGGUAGUCCACGCCCUAAACGAUGUCAACUGGUUGUUGGGUCUUCACUGACUCAGUAACGAAGCUAACGCGNGAGUGACGCGNGGNGCGGCGCGAGUAGAGACGAGAGUAGNGCGNGNGAGNGCGACGACGACGACGAGGGAGGAGG
RNAcentral lists this ribosomal RNA (604 nucleotides) under uncultured bacterium. RNAcentral's name for it is "bacterial SSU rRNA". The stretch from base 1 to 539 matches the Rfam family "Bacterial small subunit ribosomal RNA", at positions 338 to 873 of the family's 1533-position model. The record is from RNAcentral.